UACGUAGGUGGCAAGCGUUGUCCGGAUUUACUGGGUGUAAAGGGCGUGUAGCCGGGAAGGCAAGUCAGAUGUGAAAUCCGGAGGCUCAACCUCCGAAUUGCAUUUGAAACUGUUUUUCUUGAGUACUGGAGAGGCAGACGGAAUUCCUGGUGUAGCGGUGAAAUGCUUAGAUAUCACGAAGAACUCCGAUUGCGAAGGCAGCUCACUGGACUGCAACUGACACUGAGGCUCGAAAGUGUGGGUAUCAAACAGG
This 253-nucleotide ribosomal RNA is filed under the name uncultured Oscillospiraceae bacterium. RNAcentral's name for it is "partial 16S ribosomal RNA". It matches the Rfam family "Bacterial small subunit ribosomal RNA", at positions 524 to 776 of the family's 1533-position model. Lineage: Bacteria; Bacillati; Bacillota; Clostridia; Eubacteriales; Oscillospiraceae. The record is from RNAcentral.